This 251-nucleotide long non-coding RNA is filed under the name Carica papaya (papaya). Its description in RNAcentral is "long non-coding RNA (CPAP_LNC001348)". The record is from RNAcentral. Lineage: Eukaryota; Viridiplantae; Streptophyta; Magnoliopsida; Brassicales; Caricaceae.
UUUCCUCAAUAAGCAUCAUCAAUUCACAUUUAAACAAGAAAAUCGUAAUUCAUGCCGAACAGACAACAUACAGUAUCAGUUCUUCAGUCAUUCAACCCAUAAUUAAUAAAACAGUAAUAUAUGCAUUCGAAACUAUAAAAUGAACACAUCAAACCCCAUAAUGCAUUUAAAGCUGUAAAACAGUGUAAAACAUGCCAAAUAACAGUAAAUCAUCAAUCACACUAGACUCGGGCUCCAUUAGCAACCUUAAG